AACGCUGAAGGAGGAGCUUGCCCUUCUGGAUGAGUUGCGAACGGGUGAGUAACGCGUAGGUAACCUGCCUGGUAGCGGGGGAUAACUAUUGGAAACGAUAGCUAAUACCGCAUAACAGUAGAUGUUGCAUGACAUUUACUUAAAAGGUGCAAUUGCACCACUACCAGAUGGACCUGCGUUGUAUUAGCUAGUUGGUGGGGUAACGGCUCACCAAGGCGACGAUACAUAGCCGACCUGAGAGGGUGAUCGGCCACACUGGGACUGAGACACGGCCCAGACUCCUACGGGAGGCAGCAGUAGGGAAUCUUCGGCAAUGGACGGAAGUCUGACCGAGCAACGCCGCGUGAGUGAGGAAGGUUUUCGGAUCGUAAAGCUCUGUUGUAAGAGAAGAACGAGUGUGAGAGUGGAAAGUUCACACUGUGACGGUAUCUUACCAGAAAGGGACGGCUAACUACGUGCCAGCAGCCGCGGUAAUACGUAGGUCCCGAGCGUUGUCCGGAUUUAUUGGGCGUAAAGCGAGCGCAGGCGGUUAGAUAAGUCUGAAGUUAAAGGCUGUGGCUUAACCAUAGUACGCUUUGGAAACUGUUUAACUUGAGUGCAAGAGGGGAGAGUGGAAUUCCAUGUGUAGCGGUGAAAUGCGUAGAUAUAUGGAGGAACACCGGUGGCGAAAGCGGCUCUCUGGCUUGUAACUGA
This 693-nucleotide ribosomal RNA is filed under the name uncultured Bacilli bacterium. RNAcentral's name for it is "bacterial SSU rRNA". It matches the Rfam family "Bacterial small subunit ribosomal RNA", at positions 65 to 743 of the family's 1533-position model. The record is from RNAcentral. Lineage: Bacteria; Bacillati; Bacillota; Bacilli.